RNAcentral lists this ribosomal RNA (504 nucleotides) under uncultured bacterium. RNAcentral's name for it is "partial 16S ribosomal RNA". It matches the Rfam family "Bacterial small subunit ribosomal RNA", at positions 28 to 523 of the family's 1533-position model. The record is from RNAcentral.
GGUAAACGCUAGCGUCAGGCUUAACACAUGCAAGUCGAGGGGCAGCAUAGAUUGUAGCAAUACAAAUGGUGGCGACCGGCGCACGGGUGCGUAACGCGUAUGCAACCUACCCGUCACAGGGGGAUAGUCCGGAGAAAUCUGAUCUAAUACCCCAUAACAUAUGGACCGGCAUCGGUUCAUGGCGGAGUUUUCGGAGGGUACGGAUGGGCAUGCGUAGCAUUAGCCUGUUGGUGAGGUAACGGCUCACCAAGGCGACGAUGCUUAGGGGGACUGAGAGGUUUUCCCCCCACACUGGUACUGAGACACGGACCAGACUCCUACGGGAGGCAGCAGUGAGGAAUAUUGGUCAAUGGGCGCAAGCCUGAACCAGCCAUGCCGCGUGCAGGAUGACGGCUCUAUGAGUUGUAAACUGCUUUUGUACGAGGGUAAAGUGGGUUACGUGUAACCUUUUGAAAGUAUCGUACGAAUAAGGAUCGGCUAACUCCGUGCCAGCAGCCGCGGUAA